RNAcentral lists this unclassified non-coding RNA (348 nucleotides) under soil metagenome. RNAcentral describes it as "partial contains 5.8S ribosomal RNA, internal transcribed spacer 2, and large subunit ribosomal RNA". The stretch from base 1 to 120 matches the Rfam family "5.8S ribosomal RNA", at positions 35 to 154 of the family's 154-position model. The record is from RNAcentral.
GAUGGAGAACGUAGCGAAAUGCGAUAAGUAAUGUGAAUUGCAGAAUUCAGUGAAUCAUCGAGUCUUUGAACGCACAUUGCGCCCCCUGGUAUUCCGGGGGGCAUGCCUGUCCGAGCGUCAUUGCUGCCCUCAAGCACGGCUUGUGUGUUGGGCCCCGCCCCCCGGCUCCCGGGGGGCGGGCCCGAAAGGCAGCGGCGGCACCGCGUCCGGUCCUCGAGCGUAUGGGGCUUCGUCACCCGCUCCGUAGGCCCGGCCGGCGCCCGCCGGCGACCCCCCUCAAUCUUUUCAGGUUGACCUCGGAUCAGGUAGGGAUACCCGCUGAACUUAAGCAUAUCAAUAAGCGGAGGA